This 347-nucleotide ribosomal RNA is filed under the name Triticum aestivum (bread wheat). Its description in RNAcentral is "partial small subunit ribosomal RNA". The record is from RNAcentral. Lineage: Eukaryota; Viridiplantae; Streptophyta; Magnoliopsida; Poales; Poaceae.
GUCCCCGUCGCCCCCAUCGACCUACAAGGACACCCAUGCCCUGGUUGAACCCUAGCUGCCCUCCAGAUCCCCCUCUCUUUGCCCCUCUCCCACACGCCCGAGCUCGUCGGCGCUGCCGUCGCCAUACCGCCGCCGUAGGCGCGGCCACCGGCCUCCCGGCACCAUCGGAGAAUGCCCAGGAUCUCCACCAGCAUGCCCUGCUUCCCCUACGCGGAUCAACUCGAGCUCGGAGCAACCACCUCGACCGGAUCGACGCCUUCUUCUUCCUCGGUCGUCGCCGCUGCUCUUCAUCGAUCCGUCGCCUCUGCAGCUCCUAAGCCACCAACGGGCCUCCGUGUGACUCCGCG